This 1056-nucleotide long non-coding RNA is filed under the name Marmota monax (woodchuck). Lineage: Eukaryota; Metazoa; Chordata; Mammalia; Rodentia; Sciuridae. The record is from RNAcentral.
UAGUAGUUGGAUGGUACUGGAAACCAUUUUUUCCAGUGUGAUACAUGAUUUAAAAGAAAUGCAAGGAUAAAUAAUUACUUAAUUAUUAAAAAUAUGGUAAAUCAUCUCACUUUAAUUUCUCAUGCCAAUAAUUUGUCAGCUAUAGUUGAUAAUAAUUUUUAAGAGCUAUCAUAGUGGGGUACUUACAAGAGCUAUCCACAUAUUUUGCCAUUUAAUUCUAAUGACAAUUUAAUGAAGUCAGUACUCUUACUAUCCCUUUUUCUUAAUACUAAGCAAGCUAAGAGGGGUAAAAAGGUCACAAAGUUAGUGAAACACCUUAUUCCACAUUUGUCUUGAUUCUGCAGCUCAUGAUCUUAACCUCUAUGCUAGCUUACCUAUUUAUUUGAUAUUUACUGAUUACCUACUUUGAAUGUGGUUCUAAAACUAAUUUUUAAGUAAUUGCAAUACUGCUUUUCUGACAAACUUGGAAAAUCAUGUAAAAUAUUUCUUUAUUAGCUGAUUUUCACCCCUACCAAGGAUAAUUCUAGUGGUCUGUUAUAUCAAGUACAGAACUUAGAAUUCUUCAGUGCAGAAAAUCAAAGUUAUGCUGAUCAUGGUGGUCCAUGCCUGUAAUCCCAGCUGCUUGGGAGGUUGAAGUGGUAGGAUUGCAAGUUCAAAGCCAGCCUCGGCAAAAAUGAGAUUUAAGCAACUCAGUGAGAUCCUAUGUCUAACUAAAAUACAAAAUGGGGCUGGGGAUAUGGCUCAGUGGUUGAGUGCCCCUGAGUUCAAUCCCUGGUACCCCCUCCCCAUAAAAGAAAAUCAAAGUUAUGAUAGUUCAGUAUAUACUACUAGUUAGAAUGCAGAACAUGCAUCUUUAUCCCAAUAUAAUUGAUCCUGUAAGAUAAUCUAACAAAAAGAAGGUAGGACAGAUUGUUUUUAGAAGGAAUUUUAAGAAAAGCAUAUACCUUUAAGGAGGAGGUAUGUAUUAUUGGCUCUUGCCCUUGUGCUUUGAGUAGCUCACUAAAAGCUUUACUUGCAUUUCAUCAUUCUCAUAAGCCAAAUAUAAAUGAAUUGUUU